AACGCGAAGAACCUUACCUGGGCUCGAACGGCUUCGGACAAUCUUUGGAAACAGAGACUUCCCGCAAGGGACUGGAGUCGAGGUGCUGCAUGGCUGUCGUCAGCUCGUGUCGUGAGAUGUUGGGUUAAGUCCCGCAACGAGCGCAACCCUUGUCCUGUGUUGGCAUGCCGCAAGGCGCAACUCUCAGGAGACCGCCAGCGAUAAGUUGGAGGAAGGUGGGGAUGACGUCAAGUCAUCAUGGCCUUUAUGUCCAGGGCUACACACGUGCUACAAUGGGCGGUACAAAGCGCUGCAAACCCGCGAGGGGGAGCCAAUCGCAAAAAACCGUUCUCAGUUCGGAUCGCAGGCUGCAACUCGCCUGCGUGAAGCUGGAAUCGCUAGUAAUGGCGUAUCAGAAUGAUGCCGUGAAUACGUUCCCGGGCCUUGUACACACCGCUAGUC
This 441-nucleotide ribosomal RNA is filed under the name uncultured bacterium. RNAcentral describes it as "bacterial SSU rRNA". It matches the Rfam family "Bacterial small subunit ribosomal RNA", at positions 958 to 1398 of the family's 1533-position model. The record is from RNAcentral.